Molecule: ribosomal RNA, 450 nt
Filed under: uncultured bacterium
Lineage: Bacteria
Description: partial 16S ribosomal RNA
Rfam family: Bacterial small subunit ribosomal RNA
Source: RNAcentral
GUAGGGAAUCUUCCACAAUGGACGAAAGUCUGAUGGAGCAACGCCGCGUGAGUGAAGAAGGUUCUCGGAUCGUAAAACUCUGUUGUGAGGGAAGAACAAGUACCGGAGUAACUGCCGGUACCUUGACGGUACCUCAUUAGAAAGCCACGGCUAACUACGUGCCAGCAGCCGCGGUAAUACGUAGGUGGCAAGCGUUGUCCGGAAUCAUUGGGCGUAAAGCGCGCGCAGGCGGUCCCUUAAGUCUGAUGUGAAAGCCCACGGCUCAACCGUGGAGGGUCAUUUGAAACUGGGGGACUUGAGUGCAGAAGAGGAAAGCGGAAUUCCAAGUGUAGCGGUGAAAUGCGUAGAGAUUUGGAGGAACACCAGUGGCGAAGGCGGCUUUCUGGUCUGUAACUGACGCUGAGGCGCGAAAGCGUGGGGAGCAAACAGGAUUAGAAACCCUUGUAGUCC